Molecule: long non-coding RNA, 2457 nt
Filed under: Hordeum vulgare
Lineage: Eukaryota; Viridiplantae; Streptophyta; Magnoliopsida; Poales; Poaceae
Description: long non-coding RNA (HVUL_LNC002174)
Source: RNAcentral
GGUGAUAUAACAAGGAAUCCAUGGUUUCACAUGGAAACGACUGCACCUGCAAUUAACAACGCUAUCAAACGACUGAGCAAGCGGUAACCUAGCCAAACAAGGUUUGCUGGGUAGUGGAAAGAUUAGAGGUUUCAUGGCAAUGUUGGGAGGCUGAUAUUUAACAGGUGGUAGGCAGUGAGACAUAGCGAUAGAAACGAAACAACUAGCAUGGCAAUGAUAGUAAUGGUAUAUAGGGAAAUGAUCAUCUUGCCUGUGAUCCCGCUUGGAAGAAGAACGACUCCGUGAAGCAGAUGAACCGAUAUAGUCGAACGGAUCCUCACAUUCCGACAAGCUUACGGAACUCUAUCGAGAUGAGAAAACAAGAAUCAACACACGAUAUUCACCACGGCACAUGCACGAUAGGAUGCACCACCUAAUAUGAUGCAUGUCCAUUUACAUAUAGAGUUCAUUGCAAACGGAACUACGGUUUAAAAGAUAUGAUUACCGCAAGAUAUGAUGCCAUGAAUGCAAUAUGUAUGCAAAAGGCAGCCACAAACAUUCCAAACCAAGACGGCAACAACAUAAAAUGAAACUACAUGAGAAUCUAAGCAAGUUUCAUAUAUGACACGUUCCAAACGGAGCAACGAUUCAACAAUUACAAGCAAAACAAGAAAUAACUACAUCUGCCAAAAACAGCAACAUGUCAUUUUAUACAACUUAAAACAACAAGCUACAUAAUUCUAAAAUGCUCAAACAAGGCAUGAGGCAGUAGUGGUCAAGAUGCACAAUAACCCUCUACUAAAUACAACUAGCAUGGAAGCAUAUAUCACUAGGAAAAUAACUCACAAAAUGACAAGUAGCACAUAGUUUCAAACUUGGUGAAAAUAGCAGUUUUGACAAUGCAGUUUUCAACCAGAAGGCAUAUUGGCAGUAGUAAAACUAUAUGCUAUAGGGCAUAGAAUGGCAUGAAAUUUUUAUAGCAUGAUAGAGAAUUUUAAGCACUACAAAUAACUCCAUUGCACCAACCCCAAAGGAGUUGUAUAUCACUAGAAAAUAUCAUGUCAAGACAACAACAAAAUAUUACAGAUUACAAGCAUAAAUAUUUCAGCAUCUCAAGUCAGCACUAUUUUUUAGCAUGUUGGCAACAAGCAAACAACACCUAAACAUGAAUUUCUACAACAACCAAAAUUACCAGGAGCUAGCAUACAUGUCCAAGGGCAUAACUCAAGUUGACAAGUCAUUUAUAUCAUGCACGGAAUAAUUCACACAAAAAUAAAGAAAAGGGCAACAUGGCCAAAUAUCAUGCAUGCUAACUUACUUAGUAAACAAAACUAAAUGCACAGAUAAAUUCUACAGAUUUUUCUAACCGAAAACAUAUAUAAUAUAUGGGGUUCUAAAUAAAACUAGUGGCACCACAUAUAUGCGAGAAUAUGUCUUAAACCGGUCUUUAGCAAACUAUUUAUGCCACCCACAUGCAAACAACAAGAAACAUAUAUAUAAUAUGCAUGGAAAGGUGUUACAAACAACAUGAACAUUUUACAUAUCGGGUUUGAUCAAUUCGGAUGCACGCCUAAAUAUCUACGGAAUAAAUCACCUAAACAUAACAACACACAAAGCUAUGCAAAUAGCAGGCCAAUCAAUUUUAAAUAUGCAUGCAAGUUGGAAAAUAUUAAUCUACGCAAAAUUCUACAUGACAUGCAUAUAUGACUUGUUGCGAUCCGAUGCAUGGUUAAAAAGAUACAUGCGUUUUAAAAUCAUGCAAUUUUCUGACAAUGAAUUAAAUCGGAGGACCUAAAAAAAAUACUAAACGGGCAGAAUCUGCUACUGCGGGCGUAAACAGAGCACGAGUACAACAACACUAAAUAGCGCCCAUGGCGUGGAAUAGGACAGGGGCGGUCACCGAGGGCCUUCGGGCCGACCUGGUGGGACGAGGUGGCUGGGCCCAGGUGGUGGGACGAGGCCGGCUAGUGUAGUCAACGGGGCCGCGUCGGCCCGGGAUCUUGCACGGAAGCUGGUCCCAGAGCGAGGGCGUUCUCGGGCGUCGUCCUCCUGCUCGAUCCGGCCUGGUUCGAGCGAGGCAGGGCUGGCCAUGGCGAGGUGGGCAAGCGACGGAUCCGACGAGGGCGGCCUCAGUUCCGACUAGCUUCGGCGGGGCUGAGGCUUCGGUGGCUGGUGGCCUCACCCGCAAGGCACAAGCGCCAUGGAGUUAGAUAGAGAAGCAUGGAGAGUAAGAGGAGAUGCGCGGGGGCGAGCUCUGGCCUGGGGUGUCCGGCGAGGUUGCUCCGACCGCGGCAGUCAGCGGCGCUCCGGCGACGCGGGGCUGCUGCAGGGUGCGUCGACGGGAGCUCGCGAGCUCUCGCAUGUGAGGCAGGGCACGGACCGACGACGAUUCCAGAUGGACCCGGGAGGGCCAUCUGCGGGCUUGGCGGCUGGGAGAAGAGAGGGGGUGGGAGAUGACGGCUGGGUGCGGAUUUCGAG